Molecule: long non-coding RNA, 1756 nt
Organism: Lotus japonicus
Lineage: Eukaryota; Viridiplantae; Streptophyta; Magnoliopsida; Fabales; Fabaceae
Exons: 4
Source: RefSeq, a predicted model, not a curated record
AGGAAAAGAACCUUCAGAAAAGUUUUGUUCCUUGAACGAACUUCAAAGAUGGAUGAGGUAUUUUGCUUGCAUGUGCCUAAGGUAUUUUGCUUGCAUUUGCAUUUGGGGCUGAAGUAUUAAUUGGUGGUUGAGAAAAGAGGUGGGGGCGGUAGUUGUGGACUGAGGUGAUGGUUGUGGUAUGCAGGCAGAUGCUUAAGAAAGGGUAGGGUUCCAUAGUUGAGGGAGAAGGAGGUGUGGGCGCGGCUGUGUGUUUUGGGUUAGGGAAGGAGAAGGUUGAGUCAGUGGUGGUGGCGGCACUAUUCAGGUUAUUAUCAAAGAUGCUGCUGCUCCGAAUUACACAUCUAGAAAGCCAUGCUCCAAAUUACACAUCUAGAAAGCCAAGUAAAUAAGUUGCAGGUUCUGUGACUGCUUUGUAUUUUUUCUAUCCAAGAACUUACUUUUACAUAAAAGUCUGUGAUAGUGAAGUCUCAUAUUUCAAAUCAAGUGAUAUUAUCUUGGUCAGCUCAAAGGGUUGGAGGGUUUGUCUCAAGAAGAGUUUUUUCUAUGGCUACCUGUGAAGGAUAUCAUUGUAAAUGAUCCAUCAUUAGGUCUCAUUCUCAUUGAUAUUGGUCUUGCCUAUAAACAGCUCUCUUUGCCUCUCUUAGAAGUUCCCCUAAUUUGCAGAUCCUAAGGUAACUGUCUUUUUUGUUUGUGUAUUUAUAGCUGUUAUUUAUUGAUGAUAACUUCAAAUUUGAAUAGAAAUCACUAUGUAAAAGCAUAUGCAUGCUAUUUUCAUCUCAUCCAUUAUUAUUUUUAGCAUAGUUAUUUGCAUCAGUUUCUUUUACUUAAAAAUCAAUUCUGACAAUUGAAGCUACUCACAUCAAUUUCUCCUCAUAAUUGAUUUUAUCUUUAAAAUCAACUAUUGAAGAAUUUUGAAACAUACAAUGAGACCGAAUGUAUUUCAAUUCUCAUCUAUUUUAGCUUCAAAGAUUUUGUUUUGUAUGUAGAAUUUUGAUUUAAAAGUAGAACAGAGCAUUUUCGUUCCUCAGUUUCUCCAAAUUCAGGGAUGUGUGUUUGUUCGUUUUAUUUAUGUGGGUGGUAUUAGGUUCAAUAUCAAGAUUCUUGACCUUAAUCUCAAAGAGGUUCAGUAUAGAUGAGGACAUGUCAUGCUGCAACUGAUGUUGCAGGUCCAAGUAAUGUGAAUGAUAAUAUAUUGUUAGAGGAUGAAUGAAGUUAUAGUAUUGUUGAUUUAGUUAGUGAUGAUGAUUAUGUGGAUGAAGUUGAAGAUAUUGUGGGUUAUGAUCGGUUGAUGUGCACAUUUGAUAUCAAUACUAAUCUCAUAAGUGGCAGGGAACCUCUGAUUAUCCCAGGUUGGGUUCAAAGAGAAUAUUUCAGUGAUAUAACUCCUAUAAUCAAUGUUCUUCUUCCCAAUGGAUCUUGGACCAAGUGGGAACUUUGUUGGUACUCGCUUGGUGGGAGAAGCAAGGUAGCUGGUAUGAAGGGUGAAGUUUAUGGCCGCUGGUUUGAAUUCUACAAGGACACAUUUAAGCGACUUCGAGACACUGUUGCAGGACAUUGGAUGCAGUUAUGAAAAAUGGAGCAACCAAAUAGAUAUAGGGUUGUGGUAUUCGCCCUUUAAUUUUGCAUUAAGAAAUUGUAACUUUUUUGGAUGUUUUAUAACUAUGUAACUAUGUUAGUUAGACCUUCUUUUUAUUUUGCUACUCUGUUUAGUUACAUGUUUCCUUGAAUUUAUCUAAAAGUUGUGCUUUGGCUGUAA